This 359-nucleotide ribosomal RNA is filed under the name bacterium gwi14. Its description in RNAcentral is "bacterial SSU rRNA". It matches the Rfam family "Bacterial small subunit ribosomal RNA", at positions 118 to 491 of the family's 1533-position model. The record is from RNAcentral.
UGGGUAACCUGCCCUGUACUCUGGGAUAAGCCUGGGAAACUAGGUCUAAUACCGGAUAUGACCUGUCACCGCAUGGUGGUGGGUGGAAAGUUCCGGCGGUACGGGAUGGACCCGCGGCCUAUCAGCUUGUUGGUGGGGUAAUGGCCUACCAAGGCGACGACGGGUAGCCGGCCUGAGAGGGUGACCGGCCACACUGGGACUGAGACACGGCCCAGACUCCUACGGGAGGCAGCAGUGGGGAAUAUUGCACAAUGGGCGAAAGCCUGAUGCAGCGACGCCGCGUGAGGGAUGACGGCCUUCGGGUUGUAAACCUCUUUCAGCAGGGACGAAGCGUGAGUGACGGUACCUGCAGAAGAAGC